AGCGAACGCUGGCGGUAGGCCUAACACAUGCAAGUCGAACGGCAGCACAGUAAGAGCUUGCUCUUACGGGUGGCGAGUGGCGGACGGGUGAGGAAUACAUCGGAAUCUACUUUUUCGUGGGGGAUAACGUAGGGAAACUUACGCUAAUACCGCAUACGACCUACGGGUGAAAGCAGGGGAUCUUCGGACCUUGCGCGAUUGAAUGAGCCGAUGUCGGAUUAGCUAGUUGGCGGGGUAAAGGCCCACCAAGGCGACGAUCCGUAGCUGGUCUGAGAGGAUGAUCAGCCACACUGGAACUGAGACACGGUCCAGACUCCUACGGGAGGCAGCAGUGGGGAAUAUUGGACAAUGGGCGCAAGCCUGAUCCAGCCAUACCGCGUGGGUGAAGAAGGCUUUCGGGUUGUAAAGCCCUUUUGUUGGGAAAGAAAAGCAGCAGGUUAAUACCCCGCUGUUCUGACGGUACCCAAAGAAUAAGCACCGGCUAACUUCGUG
This 492-nucleotide ribosomal RNA is filed under the name uncultured bacterium. RNAcentral describes it as "partial 16S ribosomal RNA". It matches the Rfam family "Bacterial small subunit ribosomal RNA", at positions 29 to 507 of the family's 1533-position model. The record is from RNAcentral.